This 362-nucleotide ribosomal RNA is filed under the name uncultured bacterium. Its description in RNAcentral is "bacterial SSU rRNA". It matches the Rfam family "Bacterial small subunit ribosomal RNA", at positions 28 to 391 of the family's 1533-position model. The record is from RNAcentral.
GACGAACGCUGGCGGCGUGCUUAACACAUGCAAGUCGAGCGGUAAGGCCCUUUCGGGGUACGACGAGCGGCGAACGGUGAGUAACACGUGGGUGACCUGCCCUCAGCUCUGGGAUAAGCCUGGGAAACCGGGUACUAAUACUGGAUAUGACUCCAUGACGCAUGUUGUGGGGUGGAAAGCCUUGUGCGGCUGAGGAUGGGCCCGCGGCCUAUCAGCUUGUUGGUGGGGUGANGGCCUACCAAGGCGACGACGGGUAGCCGGCCUGAGAGGGCGACCGGCCACACUGGGACUGAGACACGGCCCAGACUCCUACGGGAGGCAGCAGUGGGGAAUCUUGCGCAAUGGGCGAAAGCCUGACGCAG